Molecule: non-coding RNA, 375 nt
Organism: Camelina sativa (false flax)
Lineage: Eukaryota; Viridiplantae; Streptophyta; Magnoliopsida; Brassicales; Brassicaceae
Source: RefSeq, a predicted model, not a curated record
UUAUUUACUCUCUGUUUUUUUUUUUAUUGGUUCCUUACGGUGCUUUCUUCUUCUUCGUCUUGCAGGUGUUUUGGAAGCUAAUUAUAUACUCUUCUCCUGGCUACGUCUUCAAGCUUUCUCACGGGUUUUGUUAACAUGUGAUCAUUUUUUUUUGGUUUUAUAGUUGUUUCACUUCACUCUAUCGUUUUGGUAUCAAUAAUACUCAGGUGUGGUUGGAGGAGAGGUGUCUGAUCUACACUUUACUAAAUUAGGUGGCUGGAGAGGAAGACCCGAGGUGUUUCUUGGCGGUUUUGCUAACAGAGCAAACUAUAGAAGAGGUACAACAUAACAUCUUUGAAAGGAAAAGGGUGUGUGUUUACUUACGACGCUGUUGGA